Molecule: non-coding RNA, 26 nt
Filed under: Homo sapiens (human)
Lineage: Eukaryota; Metazoa; Chordata; Mammalia; Primates; Hominidae
Source: RNAcentral
GACACGUGUUCUGUGGUCCUGGUGCU